Molecule: ribosomal RNA, 666 nt
Filed under: uncultured archaeon
Lineage: Archaea
Description: bacterial SSU rRNA
Rfam family: Archaeal small subunit ribosomal RNA
Source: RNAcentral
GAUGGGUCUGCGGGCCUAUCAGGUAGUAGUGGGUGUAGCGUACCUACUAGCCUACGACGGGUACGGGUUGUGAGAGCAAGAGCCCGGAGAUGGAUUCUGAGACACUAAUCCAGGCCCUACGGGGUGCAGCAGGCGCGAAAACUUUACAAUGCUGGGAACAGCGAUAAGGGAACCUCGAGUGCCAGGUUACAAAUCUGGCUGUCGUGAUGCCUAAAAAGCAUUAUAUAGCAAGGGCCGGGCAAGACCGGUGCCAGCCGCCGCGGUAACACCGGCGGCUCGAGUGGUAACCGUUAUUAUUGGGUCUAAAGGGUCUGUAGCCGGCCGGAUAAGUCUCUUGGGAAAUCUGGCAGCUUAACUGUCAGGCUUUCAGGGGAUACUGUCUGGCUCGAGGCCGGGAGAGGUAAGAGAUACUUCAGGGGUAGGGGUGAAAUCUUGUAAUCCUUGAAGGACCACCAGUGGCGAAGGCGUCUCACCAGAACGGACCUGACGGCAAGGGACGAAAGCUAGGGGCACGAACCGGAUUAGAUACCCGGGUAGUCCUAGCCGUAAACGAUACUCGCUAGGUGUCGGCCACGGUGCGACCGUUGUCGGUGCCGUAGGGAAGCCGUGAAGCGAGCCACCUGGGAAGUACGGCCGCAAGGCUGAAACUUAAAGGAAUUGGCGGGA